This 588-nucleotide ribosomal RNA is filed under the name uncultured Glomus. Its description in RNAcentral is "SSU rRNA". It matches the Rfam family "Eukaryotic small subunit ribosomal RNA", at positions 624 to 1213 of the family's 1831-position model. Lineage: Eukaryota; Fungi; Glomeromycota; Glomeromycetes; Glomerales; Glomeraceae. The record is from RNAcentral.
AAGCUCGUAGUUGAAUUUCGGGGUUAGUAGGUUGGUCAUGCCUCUGGUAUGUACUGGUCUCACUGAUUCCUCCUUCCUUAUGAACCGUAAUGCCAUUAAUUUGGUGUUGCGGGGAAUUUGGACUGUUACUUUGAAAAAAUUAGAGUGUUUAAAGCAAGCUAACGCUUGAAUACAUUAGCAUGGAAUAAUGAAAUAGGACGUUCGAUCCUAUUUUGUUGGUUUCUAGGAUUGACGUAAUGAUUAAUAGGGAUAGUUGGGGGCAUUAGUAUUCAAUUGUCAGAGGUGAAAUUCUUGGAUUUAUUGAAGACUAACUACUGCGAAAGCAUUUGCCAAGGAUGUUUUCAUUAAUCAAGAACGAAAGUUAGGGGAUCGAAGACGAUCAGAUACCGUCGUAGUCUUAACCAUAAACUAUGCCGACUAGGGAUCGGAUGAUGUUAAUUUUUUAAUGACUCAUUCGGCGCCUUACGGGAAACCAAAGUGUUUGGGUUCCGGGGGGAGUAUGGUCGCAAGGCUGAAACUUAAAGGAAUUGACGGAAGGGCACCACCAGGGGUGGAGCCUGCGGCUUAAUUUGACUCAACACGGGGAAA